RNAcentral lists this unclassified non-coding RNA (167 nucleotides) under soil metagenome. Its description in RNAcentral is "partial internal transcribed spacer 1". The record is from RNAcentral.
CAAGAAAACGAGGGCCGCGUGCGCUCGCCCGCCCGGCCCCGCUCCUUACCUUGCCUACUGCACCCGUUUUGUUUGCUUCCUGGCGGCGGGACUGCCCGCCGCCAGGGGACGUUGAUACAAUCCUGUAUAGAAAGCAUUGAAGCUCUGAGAAAAACGCGAAAAUCGUA